RNAcentral lists this transfer RNA (74 nucleotides) under Puniceibacterium sediminis. It matches the Rfam family "tRNA". From Rfam's summary of the family: Transfer RNA (tRNA) molecules are approximately 80 nucleotides in length. The record is from Rfam by way of RNAcentral. Lineage: Bacteria; Pseudomonadati; Pseudomonadota; Alphaproteobacteria; Rhodobacterales; Paracoccaceae.
GGGUGGUUAGCUCAAUUGGUUAGAGCAGAGCGCUCAUAACGCUUUGGUUGCGGGUUCGAGUCCCACACCACCUA